AGAAAGACAACGAAAGCACGAAAACACACUCCAAAUCAGUCCACUAAUCUUAAGGAUCCAAGGACCUUUUUGGAGACCACUCUCGGAUUCACUACAACAAUAACAAUAAGAGAUAACAAUGGUGUAUUUGACAUCAAAGCAGACACCACAAACUAACAAAGAGAGUAUCAAGAUAACAAGAUGAAGAACAAGAUGAAUAAUAACACAACGGAAACAACAACACACAUUUUUUGACUAGAACAACAACAAAGUGUACAAGAAAUGUAAAGUAGAUAGAUAGACAAAGUGAAGGUAUAAUCUUAAGAACCCAAGAGCCUAUUCCACUCUUGGACCCUUAACAAUACACACUACAAAUACUUAUCUCUCCGAUGAGCACAAGAGAGACCUCAACCUCCUCUAGCACCCAACGUUCCAAGCAUGAAUCCAACACGAAUGAUUCCACACUCAAGUUGGAAAUCCUAGUUACAAUGUUUUGGCCAUAGGCCUUUCUCANNNNNNNNNNNNNNNNNNNNNNNNNNNNNNNNNNNNNACAUCUAAGACUAAAAACCCUAAGAGGUUCUAUAUAUAGUGUAUUACAAAAUAGAAUACAAAAUGACUACAAUACCCCUCAAGGGUGAGGUGCCCAUCAAGUGUAACUUAGGGGCUGUUUUAGUGCAUUUAGGCCCUCUUUCACACUUUCCUUGUGCACUUCCUUGGACAGAUUUAAUACGCACUCAUUCUUAUCCAUCCUCGUGGUCAAAAUCGUAUCAUCCUCCCCUUCUUGAAAAGGAUUCGACCUCGAAUCCAUAUCUUGUAAAUCAAGAGAAAACAAACAAGUACACAUCCUCAUGAUAUGAGGGGUUUAGGUUAGCAAAAAUAACACAUCAACAUGACAUGCCGAGGAGGGAUAAAUUUGUAGUAUAGCCACGGGUCCUUUGUUUUAAUCAUGAAAAAAUUAGUACAAUUGCUACAAAGGAAGUAGCUCGGACAAGCAUCAAGACAAAAGAAAAAUAGGCCGAGAGUCAUCCUUUCCCACCAUAAGAUGGUACAGGGAUCAAAUGGAAGAAUUAGCCAAGGGCCUAAGCCGAGGCUAGCCCUUCCUUCCCCUAGAAUGUCACUCCCAUAUUUACACACAAAAACAUUUUCAUACACAUGAUCUCUAUGAACAAAACUAACCGCAAUGCUUUUACCACACAAGAUGUUCAAAGAGUCAUUCACAUUAUCAAGAUCAAUUCUAUAGACACCAUCACUAACUUGCGAAUUUUUAAGCACUACAUUCACAUGCUCAAGUAGUGAGCUACAUUUAAGAGUAAAUUGAUCAUCAUGAACACCAAGAGUACUACUAAGAGUACUCAUUUCCGAGACUACACAUUCCUUGCCCAUAAGAGUACUAUCAUCUUCCAAGAAGAAAUUUCCAUCUUUAGGAGAAAUGUUGUCAUACCAUAGUGGGUUAGCAUAUCAGCUAUAGCCUUCAAGGCAAGCUAAACCAUCAUUUUCACCACUAGGUUCAUUAGGAGUGUUUAUAUCUUCUUCAAACAAAAUAUUAAACCUAAAGAGAGCAUGAUCUAUCUCAAGGACAAAUUUGGAACUAGCAAGUGUUUCACUCUCUAUAAGUUCACUAUCAAGUACCAAAGAUGUUUUAAUCUCCUCUUUACCUUGGUGUGGGUCGGGGCAGCCCACCUCUUCCUUCGGAAAGCUGUCGGCACAAGGUUUUUGGACAAGGAAAGUUGGAUUUUGUGGGAUAAGUUUAGGUAACAAUUGACGAUCACAUGUGGCAUUGAAAUUAUGGGCAGCCAUUGUACCUAACAAAAAGACACAACAAACAAAGAAAACAAACAAACUUGUUAGAUUCAAAAUGCCUCACCACACUCUCACUCUCGAUUUUACCUCACACUUGGUUUCAUAAGUGUUGAAAGUCAGCUUGUACUUCGUGAGUGAUUGAAGGAUGAGUCCAUCUUUGCCUGGAAUAGAUUUUCGUUUGAUCUGACUCAAAAGAAAUAUUGUUUACGGACUUGAACCAACAAGAUACAACGAAUUCACAAAAAAGAAAAAAAGCACACAACAAACACUAAACACAAAUGAACGAGCACAAAGACUAACUAACAAUCUAGUAGAUGAGUACUAGUUUGCCAUUAGUAUUGGAACCAACAAAUGAAACUAUGGAACAAUAAAAAGAAACUAAGAAAAUCUGAAAUUUGAGCCAAAAUUUAAUGUGUGAAUAGUAACUUGAUGAUGUGGCGGCCACGUAUUGGUUGCGGUUUCUACAAUUUUUAUUUUCCAAAGUCUAAGUCUUGACCAAUUUUAAUUUGGAUUGGUGAAAUUUAUUUUAAGGAGGGAAGAAUAAGUCUUGGAGCCUUUUUUUCAAGUUUCUCAUUUCAAGACUUGACUUUUGUAGUACUUUUCCUUAAAACAUGGACCCUUGUUUCAUGGGAAAGUGGUUGAGAAGUGAUGUAAAGUCUUUAGUGUGUAGGAAAAGUCUUUGAUUCACAAGUACUACACCUUGAAACUUGGAUCUAUGUCUUGCAAGACUAACACAAUACAUACUCUUUUUCUUCAACUUCUAAGAUCAACAACCACUUUUUUUUCAACAANNNNNNNNNNNNNNNNNNNNNNNNNNNNNNNNNNNNUUGAAGUUCUAAGGUUCAAGUUGGACCUCCCAAACAACAACAACAACAACUUCCCAAGCUUAAAUUCCACAACAUAAUAUCCACAAUACACAUUCAAAACUUGAACCAACAACAUAUCACACGUUCAAGUCUUGAACCCGCAACAACAAUACCAACAACAAUCGGCCACACUUUGUUCACAUUAACAACAUCAACAUUUCAAGCUCAAAUCUAAGAUAUAGACUCAAUGUGUUAGUGUGGAACAAAACUAACACUUAGAGACAACAAAGACACGUAAAAAUAUUGGCCAAUACACAACAAAAACACAAUUUUCGGCCAAAAACACUAAAUGGACAGAUUGGUCUUUUUUUCUGGAAUUUUCAGUUUUUCAACAAUAAUUUUUUUUUUUAAAUUUUCUAACAAGCAAGCCCAAGAUUGAUCUUGUAGGAACAAGAUCAAGCCGUGCUCUGAUACCAAAUGAUACGAGAAAGACAACGAAAACACGAAAACACACUCCAAAUCAGUCCACUAAUCUUAAGGAUCUACGGACCUUUUUGGAGACCACUCUCGGAUUCACUACAACAACAACAAUACGAGAUAACAAUGGUGUAUUUGACACCAAAACAGCCACCACAAACUAACAAAGAGAGUAUCAAGAUAACAAGAUGAAGAACAAGAUGAAAAAUAACACAAUGGAAACAACAA
This 3290-nucleotide long non-coding RNA is filed under the name Capsicum annuum. RNAcentral's name for it is "long non-coding RNA (CANN_LNC011394)". The record is from RNAcentral. Lineage: Eukaryota; Viridiplantae; Streptophyta; Magnoliopsida; Solanales; Solanaceae.